ACCACAACGGGUGGAGCCUGCGGUUUAAUUGGACUCAACGCCGGGCAGCUCACCGGAUAAGACAGCUGGAUGAUAGCCGGGCUGAAGACUCUGCUUGACUAGCUGAGAGGAGGUGCAUGGCCGUCGUCAGUUCGUACCGUGAAGCAUCCUGUUAAGUCAGGCAACGAGCGAGACCCACGCCAACAGUUGCCAGCAUGUCCUCCGGGAUGGUGGGGACACUGUUGGGACCGCCUCUGCUAAAGAGGAGGAAGGAAUGGGCAACGGUAGGUCAGCAUGCCCCGAAUUAUCUGGGCUACACGCGGGCUACAAUGGGUGGGACAAUGGGUAUCGACACCGAAAGGUGAAGGCAAUCUCCUAAACCCAUCCGUAGUUCGGAUUGUGGGCUGCAACUCGCCCACAUGAAGCUGGAAUCUGUAGUAAUCGUGUCUCAAAAUGGCACGGUGAAUAUGUCCCUGCUCCUU
This 461-nucleotide ribosomal RNA is filed under the name uncultured Methanomicrobiales archaeon. RNAcentral's name for it is "bacterial SSU rRNA". It matches the Rfam family "Archaeal small subunit ribosomal RNA", at positions 878 to 1338 of the family's 1478-position model. Lineage: Archaea; Methanobacteriati; Methanobacteriota; Methanomicrobia; Methanomicrobiales. The record is from RNAcentral.